UGAGAUUGAAUAGAGAUGAGCAAAAAAUGGUUGAAAUAAGGAAGGAGCUACAACCUCGUACGUACAGGAUGAAGGUUGGACAGGCUGUACAUGUUGGUUGCUUGCUGCGACUAGACCUUAAUCAAGCUUCUGUAGAAACAAUUUAUGUCACCGUUUGGGCAUCACCAAGUGUUUCUCUGCACUUGGGGAAGAUAGAAAAUGCUGAUGAUUUCUGGGGAAACCAUGUUGGGGUUCGAUUACAGCCUCCAGUGGGCAAAGAAAGAGCUACUGAGUUGGGCAAAUGGGAAGGGAGAGAAAUCAAAGUGGCUGGAGCGAGCUGGGAUGUGAAUAGCAUUGAUAUUGCAGUAGCUGGCUUAGGUUGGUUUUCUUUGGGUCUCAAAGGUGAAGCAACUGCAACACUGUGGACAUAUGAUGGUAUUGAGAUCACUUUGAGAGAACCUUUGGUUCUUGACCGAGCACAAUUCCUUGAGAGACCUGGAUUCUGGCUACCAAAGGCUAUAUCUGAUGCUAUUGGCAACCAAUCUAAACUUGAAUCCCAAAAAAGGAAAAUGCUUCAAGAGAAGAGUGUGGAGUCUAUUUCAGAGUUGUCUGCUUGAUGGGAAAAGAAGAGGGG
RNAcentral lists this unclassified non-coding RNA (613 nucleotides) under Hevea brasiliensis (rubber tree). The record is from RNAcentral. Lineage: Eukaryota; Viridiplantae; Streptophyta; Magnoliopsida; Malpighiales; Euphorbiaceae.